Juglans regia (Persian walnut) is the source of this 583-nucleotide long non-coding RNA. RefSeq lists it as uncharacterized. Lineage: Eukaryota; Viridiplantae; Streptophyta; Magnoliopsida; Fagales; Juglandaceae. The transcript has 2 exons. The record is from RefSeq and is a predicted model, not a curated record.
AGGCAAGGAAAUAAAGAAAACUUCUCAAGCCUCACCCGUGCCUCUACCACCCGAUUCUCUCCCAUUUCCAUUCUCCUUCCAAUCUUAAGCCAAGCACCCAUUAUUCCUUCUUCUCAAGAGGAAAAUAGCAAGGAAAGAGUACCUUAACCUUUCUCCUUUGUGUAUUUUGAACCUAGCCAUGGUUUAAUCAAGUGGGUUUUCCUUUUAUUGUUGUUGAUGUUUCGAUUUUGGAUUUCCAGCCAAGGGUUCGUGUGCUCUAUAGUUCCCUAAGUCGAACCCACCUCUCCUCUUCUCCAUUUUUGUGUUCUGGGAAGGAUUCACCAGAGGUAUUGAUAGAGAGUUUGUGGAGCCGGGCACUACCGAGGAGGGAGGGGCCGAUGCUUAGUGUUCCCCUAUUGGUUCAACCCUUUUGAUGAUGAUGGUUUAUGGUUUUAUGUUUUAAGAUGGGUCCCAUGUUGGGACGUUUUGUUGAAUUAACUUUAAGACAAUGUAUCUUUUGGGUAUGAUAUAAUUUCUAUUGUGGGGAGAUGGUAACAGUGUAACUUCUAUGGUGGGGUGAUGGUAAUCCCCCCAUACGUUGACU